RNAcentral lists this long non-coding RNA (2078 nucleotides) under Onthophagus taurus. Its description in RNAcentral is "uncharacterized LOC111424892". Lineage: Eukaryota; Metazoa; Arthropoda; Insecta; Coleoptera; Scarabaeidae. The record is from RNAcentral.
GUUAUGUUAGGUUAGGUUAUCUGAAUAAUAAGUUUCGCUGCCGUAAAAGCGUAAGAUGUUGGAUUUAGGACUUUUAUCUUUACCAGAAAUGUAAUGUAGUUUAAAUCUUUACAAACAACUCCUAAUUAAUGACGAAAACUCAGUAUAAAUAAAAUUGUCAAAGUUGCUGAGCUUGCAAAAUCAACAGUAUACUGUGUUAUUAAAAAUAUAAGGAUAUUGGAAAGGUUAUGAGUUCCAAGCAGAUAGGAGUAAAAUUUGGGAUUACUGGUGAACUGAUAAAAAAAAUACUUCGACUAGAAUGAGUGAAGUUACCUAGAGACAGUAAACGUAGGAGACACAAAUUCGAACAGGUACCGCAUGUAGGUAACCUGAAUUGUAAGCAGUUCCUUGACCCAGUGGUGGUCCUACAUAUAUCUCGAGAUGAAUAACUAACCACGAAACAAUAACAAGUUGAGGAACGAGUUUCGAAUACCAAACGCGGAUACGAAACUGAAUAAUCAUCCAACGUAAAAGUAAAAAAUCUCCAUGAAAACGAAGUAAAGGAAGAAAAUACCAAGAUUUAUAUAAAUAGUAAAGAACCACACCUUAUGGAUGAACAGAUGUUUAUGAGACUGUAACUCUUCAGAUAGGAUAUUUCUGUGAACUGUUUAAGUAUGUAACGGUAUAACCUGUUUAGGUCAAUGUCUUUUCUAUUGAUAUACCAUGCUUAGUUUGAAAUGAUAUUUUAAUCGUUAAUACAAGAAUAUUUUUCUGGUAUUUUAUUAUAUCACAUUUUAAAAAUAAAUUUAUGUGUUACGUAUAAACUGAAAACCCAUAUUACAAUAGGAAUUAUUUAACCGCUAAAGUCCAAAAAUUUUAUGUGGAAAUAAUUUCUUUGUGGUUUUUUAUAUGUAUUGUUGUUAAUGUUAAUUUUAUAAAUAAAUCCGCUCCUUCACGUAAAUAAAUCACGGUAAAAUUUCCAAUCAAGAAAAACGUUAUUUAGUUACACAAAAUAUAAUUUGAUCUAAUUAUUCUAUGUAUAAGUACUUUUUGUUAUCGAUAUUUUAUUGUUUUCAAACGUUUAACAUUCACUAUAUGUAUAGUAUUCCUUGAGCAAAACAAAUUCUUAAGUAUAUGAGGCGUACAGUUAUGAGUUAUUACCGUGUUAUUCUAUAUAAAUCAUUAAAACUGUACGUGCUUAAGUACUUAGUUAAUUUAGGAAUUGCUUUUCAUAUUUAAUUUUUGCCAUUAUUAUGAAAAAACGUUGCAGAAUACAUCACUUGAAUAAUAUGACAAAAAAAUUUGAUUGAGUCAUUGGAAUCAAGGCUCUAAUGAAGAACUUCGGACAAAGCUGAAGACAUUGAACUAAAGAAAAGAGAAGGAAAAUGAAUUAAAACCCAACCCAACCCAAAGGUCUGUUGAAAUACACUCAGGUUCCAGGAAUUUUACAACAACAUGGUAAAUGAAAGAAUUGGAAGGAUAGAUCUAAUAAUACAUGGUAAAUUAAGAAUGUUAGGUGUAUAUGCAGUAAAUAAUGACGUUAAAUGAACAAAUUGAAAAGGUCAUUAUAGCAAGAAAAGUAACGGUUUUAACGAUACAAAUAUAGUGAUAAAAACAAGAUACAACCUAAAUAGUCUAGUACAUGAAAGCAGAAAAGAACUGUAUAAAACGAAAUCAAACACCAAACUGCAAAGAACAUCUACUGCCGGAUAUCACUGGAGAUGGGUUAACAAUUUUACACCUAUAAAGUAGGUACCAGUACUAUUUAGUCAGUUUAUAACAGGACACGGAUUCUUCCAGAAUUGUCUAUGGAAGAUAGCAAAAAUGAACUGCAUGGCGUUUCUUCACGCGGAUACUGAAUACAAUGAUGUCGAGGAAACUCCAUUCAAGUUCCAUAGAUGGAAAGCGAUUCAAGAAGAUUUGGACAUCAUUGUUGGCCGUAUGAUAGCCAACCCAUCACAGCCUGGACUAUAAGAUUUAAGGCCUCUUUAAAAGAAGAUAAAAUAGAAAAUGCUACCAGUGGGCGUGAUGUCUCAGUAGAAUGAUGCAGGAAGCCAUUACAUUGCAUUGACCAGUUUCGAGUUGACAUGAUAUUAAUU